Non-coding RNA from Vicia faba (fava bean), 393 nucleotides. The record is from the annotation of a GenBank genome assembly. NCBI's taxonomy places the organism in Eukaryota, Viridiplantae, Streptophyta, Magnoliopsida, Fabales, Fabaceae.
GCGAUCCACCACUGUCUCAAUCUCUUAUCCAUCGCGGCCUCGUCAUCUUCUUCACAGCGCCACAACUCCUCCGCGGCUUCGUCAUCUUCAAUUCAAACUCAGUGUUUCCGUCAACAUCUCAAAUUUCAUGCUCCCGCUGCUACAAUGAACUCCGUUCAUCAUCUCAAUUUGUUCGUCUUCUUUCGAUGCUCAUCUCUGAUUCGCUCAACUUCCACCGUGAAUUCGCAUUUGAUUCAACUUCAACAUUGCAACCUCACUCUCGUCCCUCUCAUUGAAGCAUUGGAACUUCAAUCGUCUGUCAUACGCGCUCGACUUCUUUGGCUUUGGAUUCACCGUUUUCUCCACGAAUUCGUUCCUUUAGGCAUCGUUGUAUCAAGUCUGUUUCAAAACUAA